ACACAUGAGCCUUUACAAAGGGAGAAGAUCCCCUUUAUAUACUAAGGGACCAUCCUCGAAAUAAUACAAAAAAGUACAAUGGUUGGUGUCGUCGAUAUACGAGUGUCAGAGCUCGUGACAUUAUGGUGAGCCACAUCAUUUGGUCCAUUUAUUGACUGAAAUCAACCUUUCUUAAGUCGACCAUGCCAAUGCAGCCUUCUUUAGUGAGGCCGUAUAUGGAUACUAUGUGGAUGUGGAGAACUAAAUUUGCUUAAUACAGGUAUAAAUUUGAAGUUUAUUCGUGAAUUUUGAGACCUAUGUAACCUAGUGCUCUACUACCACUUUGUCACGACCAGAAUUUUCCACCAUCAGGGGUCGUGAUUGCGCCUACUAAUGAGAGCUAGGCAAGCCAACUCAAACUUAUGUUUCCAUUUUUAACGAUACUUAUUCAAACCUAUCAACAAUAUUAAAAUUUAAGCGGAAUAAAUAAAUUUAGCAGAAGACUUAACAAAUUUACCUAGAUGCGAUACUGAAAUUCCAACAUGAAACACUAUCCAAGAACUAGUGUCACAAUACUCAUGAACUUCUAAGAAUAAUACACACAACCAUCUAAAAGAAAUAAAAUAUUGUUUGUCUCGAAAUUUGAGAUAACAGACUGAAAAUAAAGAUAGAGGAGACGCCGGGUCCUGCGGAUGCCUACAAGGCUACCUCGGUGUCUCGAUGAUCAAAAGCUAACACCCGCACUACUGCUGCUGCUGUCUAAAACCCCAAUCUGCGCAAAAAGAGCGCAGAGUGUAGAAUCAGCACAACCGACCCCAUAUGCUGGUAAGUGCCCGGCCUAUCCCGGCGAAGUAGUGAUAAGGCUAGGACCAGACACUCACAUACCAGUACAGUUCAAAUAUAUAUACAACAAAAAUAACAGGAAUCAAACAUUAAAUAUUUGGGAAGGCAAAAAUAUGCUCUAGGGUAACAAUAAAAUAUAAUGGCAGGAACGGAAUAAAGGAAUUUAAUUCACUUCCAAGUUCAAAUCAUCUUGUUGCAAGCGUGCAACCCGAUCCCAUUUCAUUUCAUAUCUUGUGGUAGGCGUACCACCCAUUCCCAUUUCAUAAUAUCUUGUGGUAGGCGUACCACUCGCUCCCAUUACAUUUAAUAUCUUGUGGUAGGCGUACCAUCCGCUCCCAUUUCAUUUAUUAUUUUGUGGUAGGCGUACCGCUCGCUCCCAUUUCAUUAUCAACUUAGUUCACAAUAUGUCACUGGCGACUAUGGCCAAUAACAACAAUCAAUACAAUAUAUUACUGGCAGAAAACAAGUAAUAAUAAAUUAACAAAAUAUAUAUGUUACCGGUAUGAAACCAAUAAUAAUAAAUUAACAAAAUAUAUAUGUUACCGGUAUAAAAUCAAUAAUAAUAAAUCAACAGAAAAAAUAUAUUACCGGUAUGGAACCAAUAAUAAUAAAUCAACAAAAUAUAUAUAUUACCGGUAUGGAACCAAUAAUAAUUAAUCAACGAAAUAUAAAUAUCACCGGUAUGAAACCAAUAUUAAUAAUUCCUUUCAUAUAAUCACAUAAGAUUAUUAAAGUUUAAUCAAUUUAAGAUUCACGGUCAUGCUUGACCCCCAACGUAUAGAUACGUCACCAUGCCUAUACAUCAGAUUCCACACAUAGCACUUAGCAUAUAGACUCAACUCCUAUUUCCCAAGAUAGGAUAGAUCAAACACUUACCUCGAAGGUUUACGGCAAACUCAAUACUUAAGCAAUGUUUUUUUCUUUUGAAUUUGGCUCCAAUUAAAUUGUAUCUGGAUAAAUUUUCAAACGCAAAAAAAAAAAAAAUCAGCAAACUGCAGCAAAUGGAGAUGUGCAGCUAACGGAUUGUGGUGAAAGUUAAAAGUGAAUUUGGACUUGCUGUACACAAAUUUGAUAACGGGCAAAACCAAUGCUUAAGCAAAUCAUUAGUUCACGCAGGUAAGUAAAAUAUUUAAAACAAAAAGUAUAAAUUCAUGUUUGUUCCCAAGUACUGCCUCAAUAAAACCUCUAACAUAAAUGAAUAAUUCGUUGUUCUCAAGUAAUUAAGGAACAUCUAUAACCUAAAGAUUUUCAUACUAAUGCACAACCACAGAUUGAAUUCGAGCAAGACCAAUAGACCGCACCUCGAACGGGAAAGCAAACUCGAAGAAUGACUAUCGUCGACUUCGACGCUCACCGGAAAACUUGAACCAAGGCUGUCAUGGACCUUAACAUUCACCUUGUGGCUGCAUGAAGGAGACGGGGAAGGCUGGCCAGUGAAGUGGUCGACGGGCGUGGGCUGUUUGGUGGUUUCGUUGCUGGAGGUCGUUUUGGGUGGACGACUGGACGACGGGGAAGCUGGUUAUUUGCUGCUGGUCGGAGCAGCUGACUGGAACGAAUCUGUUGGUCGACGGGGUUUUGUGAGGGACUGGCGGACAGAUUGGAGGAGAACGGGGAUCGUUUGGAAGUGAUGCUGGAGUGUGCGACGUUGGGGUCAGCUAUGGAGUUUUUUCUUUUCUGUUCGUUUGUUUCUUCAUCCGUGAGGAAGAAGAAGCAAAGGGGGUGACAGUCAUGAAUGAUGGCUUUCAUGUAACUAUUAUAAUAAUAAAUUUGGAGGACACUUCCGCACUAACAAGUAAAGCUUCUUCUUAUUCUAUAAUUAAUUUCAAUCAAUU
Molecule: long non-coding RNA, 2654 nt
Filed under: Nicotiana benthamiana
Lineage: Eukaryota; Viridiplantae; Streptophyta; Magnoliopsida; Solanales; Solanaceae
Description: long non-coding RNA (NBEN_LNC006121)
Source: RNAcentral